RNAcentral lists this ribosomal RNA (253 nucleotides) under uncultured bacterium. RNAcentral's name for it is "partial 16S ribosomal RNA". It matches the Rfam family "Bacterial small subunit ribosomal RNA", at positions 524 to 776 of the family's 1533-position model. The record is from RNAcentral.
UACAGAGGCCUCAAGCGUUAAUCGGAAUCACUGGGCUUAAAGGGUGCGUAGGCGGCGCUGCAAGUGCCUUGUGAAAUCCCAUCGCUUAACGAUGGAACUGCUUGGUAGACUGCAGCGCUUGAGGUUGGUAGGGGCUGCCGGAACUCUAGGUGGAGCGGUGAAAUGCGUAGAUAUCUAGAGGAACGCCCAAGGCGAAGGCAGGCAGCUGGGCCAAUUCUGACGCUGAGGCACGAAAGCGUGGGGAGCAAACGGG